ACGCUCGACACCUACGGGAGCAGCAGUUGGGAAUAUUGGACAAUGGAGGAAACUCUGAUCCAGUGACGCCGCGUGAAGGAAGAAGGUCUUCGGAUUGUAAACUUAUUUUGUCAGGGAAGAAAAAUGACUGUACCUGAAGAAAAAGCACCGGCUAACUACGUGCCACAGCCGCGGUAAUCUGAGCGGGCUGGCAAGGC
RNAcentral lists this ribosomal RNA (197 nucleotides) under uncultured bacterium. RNAcentral's name for it is "partial 16S ribosomal RNA". It matches the Rfam family "Bacterial small subunit ribosomal RNA", at positions 328 to 539 of the family's 1533-position model. The record is from RNAcentral.